GAUGAAGAACGUAGCGAAAUGCGAUACGUAGUGUGAAUUGCAGAAUUCAGUGAAUCAUCGAAUCUUUGAACGCACAUUGCACCUCUCGGUAUUCCGGGAGGUAUGCCUGUUCGAGCGUCAUUUGUACCCUCAAGCUCUGCUUGGUGUUGGGUGUUUGUUCCGCCUCUGUGUGUGAACUCGCCUCAAAACAAUUGGCAGCCGGCGUACUUGUUUCGGAGCGCAGCACAUUUUGCGAUCCAGAUCAACGUACAGCGGCAUCCAAGAAGCCUUAUUUAACGCUCUUGACCUCGGAUCAGGUAGGGAUACCCGCUAAACUUAAGCAUAUCAAUAAGCGGAGGA
This 339-nucleotide unclassified non-coding RNA is filed under the name soil metagenome. Its description in RNAcentral is "partial contains 5.8S ribosomal RNA, internal transcribed spacer 2, and large subunit ribosomal RNA". The stretch from base 1 to 120 matches the Rfam family "5.8S ribosomal RNA", at positions 35 to 154 of the family's 154-position model. The record is from RNAcentral.